RNAcentral lists this ribosomal RNA (432 nucleotides) under uncultured bacterium. RNAcentral describes it as "partial 16S ribosomal RNA". It matches the Rfam family "Bacterial small subunit ribosomal RNA", at positions 29 to 507 of the family's 1533-position model. The record is from RNAcentral.
AACGAACGCUGGCGGCAUGCCUAACACAUGCAAGUCGAACGAGACCUUCGGGUCUAGUGGCGCACGGGUGCGUAACGCGUGGGAACCUGCCCUAGGUUCGGAAUAACUCCCCGAAAGGGGUGCUAAUACCGGAUAAUGUCUUCGGACCAAAGAUUUAUCGCCUUUGGAUGGGCCCGCGUUGGAUUAGCUAGUUGGUAGGGUAAAAGCCUACCAAGGCGACGAUCCAUAGCUGGUUUGAGAGGAUGAUCAGCCACACUGGGACUGAGACACGGCCCAGACUCCUACGGGAGGCAGCAGUGGGGAAUAUUGGACAAUGGGCGAAAGCCUGAUCCAGCAAUGCCGCGUGAGUGAUGAAGGCCUUAGGGUUGUAAAGCUCUUUUACCCGGGAUGAUAAUGACAGUACCGGGAGAAUAAGCUCCGGCUAACUCCGUG